Non-coding RNA from Anas platyrhynchos (mallard), 3589 nucleotides. NCBI's taxonomy places the organism in Eukaryota, Metazoa, Chordata, Aves, Anseriformes, Anatidae. The record is from RefSeq and is a predicted model, not a curated record.
CUUGCUGCUGGGGCUGCCCCAAAAACUGUGAGCAAAGGUUUUGUCCAGCUGUCAGUGACAUUUCAUCCUCGGGAGCAGCUUCUCACCCAUCAGUGUACCCAGGACUGGGUUCAUCACGUGAAGCUGAUCCCAGCCUGGAACAGAAAGGUUCCUCCUGGCCCUGGGGUAACGACUUGCUCGUGUGCUUCACCUCUGUCUUCCUCUCUGACCUUGAGGGCAGUCCUGCUGCCAUCAGCCCUGCAGGUUUAGGGACAUCAGCACAGAGCUUUUAGCCAUUUCUGCAGCACGGAUCGUGGGCCACAAGGAGCUGGACUUGGUGGGCACCUUGUGCACGGCUGCCACGGAUCCCAGACGUGCCUUCCUCUUUGAUUCCUUUUUGGUGAAGGUUUGCUUCUUUCAGUCAAAUUUAAGCUUUGUUUGUAGCAGGCUCCCUCCGGAGAACAGGUGGGCAGAGGAGGUGCUGACACGCAGAAAGCACCAGCCUGCAGGUUUUCCUUCGCCCUGCUUGCAGCGCUGCCUCCCCCCUUGGAGCCUUUUCUCCUUCCCCCAGAGGUUUGUCAGCAGGAAGCUGUGGCUAAGCAGGGCCACAAUAUUCAUCUUCCCUCCUCCAGCCGGUGUUGGGGUGGAGAUGGAGGAGUAAAACCCUGCUGCUCCCUUCUGAUUGUGCAGGGCUCUGCACCGCAGUUCUUUUUUUGUGCUUUCCCCCAUUAAAAUACUGGGACGCUCGGCACAGCUGAACACCCAGCCUGGAUCUCUCCGCAGGGUGCUCCAGCAUCAAAAUGCACUUGGGAUGGGCAAAAGGGGCUUCACCAGGCUUGCUUUUGCCUAGAUGAGCAGAACCUGCUCGGGUUUCCCUUUGCUCUCUGUAAAGACGGAGCUGAAGCAAGGGCUGCGGCUCCGUGAGAGGUUUGGCGUCGCCCCGAGACCUGCCAAGAGUUAAUGCCCUGAUUACAAAACCAGGGGAUGCUUGGCACCAGCUCAGCGGUUUAGCAAGGACACAUCUGAAGCAGAAAUCUUGAUGAAGUUAUUCUAGGGAGAAGGAAAUGAUGCAACAAGGGACUUGUCCAUUUGGAGGAAGUUGGAUUUCCGUCGAGGGCGUUAUCUAACCUACCUUGCUUGGCUUUUUUUUAUUUCUUAAAGACUUUUCUGGCCUGUGCAAGCCAGCGCUCAGCUGCUUCAGGGUCGGGGAGAGCACUUGUGGGUCACCUUCAUCCUUGGCUUGAGGGCAUCUGCCUGGUUUGCCCCUGCUCUGUUGAUUUCCCCCUGAAAUCUUUGAUCUGAGGUCAAUUCUUCCAAUUUCAGGUGUUUCCUAGCAAAGACCCCAGGCAGGGCCAAGCCAGCGGGCAGACAAUGAAGGAAGCAGCAGUGACAGCAGAUGAUGAGGAGUGAAAACAGGAGAAAGGGGUCACAGCUGAGUAGGAAGGGUUGCUCACUCGUGAUAAGCAUCGACCUUCCAGGGCGCAGGCUCGUGGUUUGCCUCCUCCUUGUCGCACGGGUGGGGUGGAUGCGACAGCUCCUGCACCUGAAUUUGGCACCUUCACCUUCAACAUCCAGCCCUGAGGUGUGCUCCGGGGGAUGGAAACAAACGUUGGCCCCGCGUUUCCUAUCUGCAGCUGGACUUUCGUGGCUUCUCAUUUCUGUAGCUGUCGGGGAGGGUGGGUGGCCAACAGCGACAGCUCUUUCCACCCUCCUUUUGAGUCAGCCCGCGAGCACAUCAGAGCGCAGCCUGCUCCUGCUCUGCUGGCAGCUCCUCGAGGCAGUGAUAAUGAGAAAUGGCAGCUUCGCAACUCGAGUGGCAAAAUCAGCUUCUUUUCUCCUGCAGGCAGGGCUGCUGCACAGAAGGAGCUGGGCUCUGCUCUUGUCAGAGCAGGGGAGGUGAUGGGCGAUGCUGGCUGCUUUCCUUCCUUCUCUCUCUUUUUUUUUUUUUUUUUUCUUUUGGGGGAUGCAGCCAGGAGAGAUAAAGGGUGCAAAGCCUGCAGUGGCACUUCCCAGCCCCACAGGCAGCUGGCUGAGCCUGGGGAGCUCUUGCAGGAAGGCGCUGGGCGCAGUCCCGGUGAUGGGAUGCUCGGUGGGCAGCGUUGGCAGCCUGCAGCCCUUCCACGGGGAGGUUGGAGCGGAGAAACAAAGGAACUUUUUCCACUUUCUUCCUCUCUUUCAUUAGCCAGGCAGAGGCUGAUUCAAUUAGGUGCAAAACAAAAUGCCAGGAAAAGGAUGUUUGCUGUGCGGAGCGACGCUGCUGUCGCAAAGCUGCUUGCCUAUCUCUUGCAGCCUUUUGUUUUGCCUCUUCCACAGAUGAAGUGAUUCAGAGAUUCUGCUCCGAGAGUGGGAAAUCCCAAGGGCUAGCAGGAGAGGAGUGAGGAGCAGGGGGUUUUGGCUGGAGAGUGGCUUCCUUUACCUAAAUCCCAUGAGCCGGUGACAAUCCUCGGCGCCUGUCGUCUUUGGCCAGCAUCUUGAGUGCCAGCUGAGCCUCGGGAUCAGGCCCCUUGUACCAACGAGGUUUUCAAGAAGCUGGAAAACCUUUUUAUUAGCUGUUAGAGAGCUGCUUUGUGCAGAUGGUGUGCUGGAGCAGCCCCAGUGCGGCAGGAGCCAGCGCGGUGCCCCAGGUGAGCUCUCGCUGCUGAUCUGCGCCCUGAAUCUGCUCCUGGACAUGAAAUGUGUCCCAGCAGGGCUGUGCCUUCUGCCACACCAGCGUGAAUGCCACGUGCCCCUGCCAGGAGCUGGCAUACGGCUCUGGGAGGAGAAGGAACAAGGGUCUGGGGGGUGCUGGGCUCCCCUCAUCCACUGGGGGCUGGCUCCGUGCGCCGCGAUCUCCGGCUCCUUUUGGUGACCUCAGCCCUGGGUCUGCACGGGGGCCGUGCUCCCCCCUGGUGCAGAGGUCGGGAUGGGGCUGCUCAGCUCUCGCCCUCGUGGCAGGAUCCCCUGGAGGUGCUGCUGGUGUCCUGGCUCCCCAGGAGGAUGAUGCUCAGGGAAGCAGUUGGCUUUUCUAGCAAAGCUGCUGGCCCUUGGUGGCUUCCAGCUGAGUGACAGCAGGGACAAUGCGAUGCUCCAUCUCUCACAGCUCUGUUCUGGUGUCACCUGGCUGUGUGGCUGUGGUUUAACCCAUGGCCAGCAGCUCUCUUUUCUUCUUCCAUUAAGCCUGGUCUCUCUCCCGCUCUACUUCCAUCCUCUCAUUGAACCAGGCACCCUCAAAGCCUUGUGCUGCAGUCCUGAGGCUCUGGAGCUUAUCGCUAGGUUCCUUCUUGCUUUUGUGCUGCGGAUUUGGCUUAAAAAUGCAGCAAGCCUGGCAGGCUGGCCAUCCAUAUGGGGGACCAGUGAGUGUGUUCCAGCGAGGCACCGCUUUCUGCUUGGAGAAGCACGGGCUGCGAAGCGGCAAACGGCGCAUUUGGGCUAGCGGGGGGACUCGGAGCAGGUUGAGCAACGCUGCUCAUUUAAGCAACCCAGAACUGGUAUUGUUGUGUAAGGGGAAGAGUGGGUUUUAAAAAAAAAAAAAAAAAAAAAAAAAAAAAAGAAAGCGGAGAUCGGCCUUUAUGAAAAAAAAAAAAUCUCACUUCUUCAAAUCCAUCUGUUCUGGUGCUCCUGUGGGCAGCGC